GCAAGUAUGAUGUAAUGGUAGCAUGAUGGCUUCCAAAACCAUCCGUCAGGGUUCGAAUCCUUGUGCUUGUG
RNAcentral lists this transfer RNA (71 nucleotides) under Chitinophagaceae bacterium. RNAcentral's name for it is "tRNA-Trp". It matches the Rfam family "tRNA". From Rfam's summary of the family: Transfer RNA (tRNA) molecules are approximately 80 nucleotides in length. The record is from RNAcentral. Lineage: Bacteria; Pseudomonadati; Bacteroidota; Chitinophagia; Chitinophagales; Chitinophagaceae.